This 253-nucleotide ribosomal RNA is filed under the name uncultured bacterium. Its description in RNAcentral is "partial 16S ribosomal RNA". It matches the Rfam family "Bacterial small subunit ribosomal RNA", at positions 524 to 776 of the family's 1533-position model. The record is from RNAcentral.
UACGGAGGGUGCGAGCGUUGUCCGGAUUUAUUGGGUUUAAAGGGUGCGUAGGUGGCCUUUCAAGUCAGCGGUGAAAGUCCCGGGCUCAACCCGGGAAUUGCCGUUGAUACUGUUGGGCUUGAGUAUCGGAGGGGUAGGCGGAAUUUGUGGUGUAGCGGUGAAAUGCAUAGAUACCACAAGGAACACCAGAGGCGAAGGCGGCUUACUGGCCGAUAACUGACACUGAUGCACGAAAGCAUGGGUAGCGAACAGG